AUUUUUCUGAGGAAUUAUUACCUCACAUGUUUGUCUUUGUUUUCUAAUUCAGAAAUGCCACAAACUGCAAACAUGCUGGAGACCUGACUGAAAAAUGACAGGCCAGUUCUUGGCCACAAGCUCACCCAGGCCAGCAGCCAACGAAGGGCCCCAUGGACUCCCUGGAGCUGGGACUCCAGGGCAACACCAAACCUACCCCCAGGAAAGACCUCACUGGGCAGUCAGGUGGGGAGACCAGAGGGGUGGAGAAAAUCAGAAAUGCCACAAACUGUAAACAUGCUGGAGACCUGACUGAAAAAUGACAGGCCAGUUCUUGGCCACAAGCUCACCCAGGCCAGCAGCCAAUGAAGGGCCCCAUGGACUCCCUGGAGCUGGGACCCCAGGGCAACACCAAACCUACCCCCAGGAAAGACCUCACUGGGCAGUCAGGAGGGGAGACCAGAGGGGUGGAGAAAAUCAGCUGCCCUCAGAUGUCGUCCUUCUCUAAGAAUAUGGAGUACCUUUCAGGACUGUGGAUGAAGGUUUGAUGGGAGAAAUGAGCGUGGGAGACUCCCUCUGGUCAAGCUCCAAUGUUGCAUGAACACAGGCAGAAAUAACUUCAUACAACAUCACAGAGAGGGCUGAACCCUCAGCCCCAUUUAUGAUGUUUUGGUCAAACAUUAUGAAAGGGUAUCCAUGGUUUACCUUCCAGACUACUUUUCUUGUAGGAAUUUGAAUAAGACACUAGAGGAGGUAAUGUUUUGAAAAUCCAUGUGUGACAUGAAAUGGUUGCCAUUGCCAAUCCUCAGAUCUGAACCCAAGAGUGCAUUUUACAUUCCAUCACACUACAAUCACAUAGCAGACAUGCUUAUCCAGAGGGAUGUACAACAGUGGAGAACAUCAAUUUAACUCUCAGGAACACAAAAAUGUGAUACCACCAAGAAGGCACAUUUAUAAUCAAUAAGUGUAAUAAAAAAUAUAUAUUUGUAUUAUAACUGAACAAAGUGCGACUUGAUUACACAGCUAAAACUAUAGCAUUACUCAAAAGAAAGAAAGAAAAGAAAGAACAAGAGAAAAAAGGUUAUCUAAAGGGGGUCAGGGGAGCUAUGGUGCAGUCUGAAGAGGUCUGAACUGCCAUGAUGUUCUCAGAGAGGGACAGUCUGGUGUCCAGUGCCACUCUGAGAAUCCUGACAAA
Long non-coding RNA from Anguilla rostrata (American eel), 1174 nucleotides. RefSeq lists it as uncharacterized. The record is from RefSeq and is a predicted model, not a curated record. NCBI's taxonomy places the organism in Eukaryota, Metazoa, Chordata, Actinopteri, Anguilliformes, Anguillidae. The transcript is spliced from 3 exons.